This 446-nucleotide ribosomal RNA is filed under the name uncultured bacterium. RNAcentral's name for it is "bacterial SSU rRNA". It matches the Rfam family "Bacterial small subunit ribosomal RNA", at positions 329 to 793 of the family's 1533-position model. The record is from RNAcentral.
GACCAGACUCCUACGGGAGGCAGCAGUAAGGGAUAUUGGUCAAUGGGGGAAACCCUGAACCAGCAACGCCGCGUGAGGGAAGACGGUUUUCGGAUUGUAAACCUCUGUCCUCUGUGAAGAUGAUGACGGUAGCCGAGGAGGAAGCCACGGCUAACUACGUGCCAGCAGCCGCGGUAAUACGUAGGUGGCAAGCGUUGUCCGGAAUUACUGGGUGUAAAGGGAGCGUAGGCGGGAAAGCAAGUUGAAUGUUUAAGGUACGGGCUCAACCUGUACAAGCGUUCAAAACUGUUUUUCUUGAGUGGAGUAGAGGUAAGCGGAAUUCCUAGUGUAGCGGUGAAAUGCGUAAAUAUUAGGAGGAACACCAGUGGCGAAGGCGGCUUACUGGGCUGUAACUGACGUUGAGGCUCGAAAGCGUGGGGAGCAAACAGGAUUAGAUACCCCAGUAC